This 513-nucleotide ribosomal RNA is filed under the name uncultured soil bacterium. RNAcentral describes it as "bacterial SSU rRNA". It matches the Rfam family "Bacterial small subunit ribosomal RNA", at positions 26 to 523 of the family's 1533-position model. The record is from RNAcentral.
AGAUUGAACGCUGGCGGUAUGCUUAACACAUGCAAGUCGAACGGUAGCAUGACUUAGCUUGCUAAGUUGAUGACGAGUGGCGAACGGGUGAGUAACGCGUAGGAAUAUGCCUUAAAGAGGGGGGCAACUUGGGGAAACUCAAGCUAAUACCGCAUAAUAUCUCCGGAUAAAAGCUAGGGACCUUCGGGCCUGGCGCUUUAAGAUUAGCCUGCGUCCGAUUAGCUAGUUGGUAGGGUAAAGCCUACCAAGGCGACGAUCGGUAGCUGGUCUGAGAGGAUGACCAGCCACACUGGAACUGAGACACGGUCCAGACUCCUACGGGAGGCAGCAGUGGGAAUAUUGGACAAUGGGGGCAACCCUGAUCCAGCAAUACCGCGUGUGUGAAGAAGGCCUAGGAGGGUUGUAAAGCACUUUUCGAGUGGGAGGUAGGUUUGCCAGGUUAAGAGCCGAAGGUAAAUGGACGUUACCACAGAAGAAGCACCGGCUAACUCCGUGACCAGCACGCCGACGUAA